UGUAUGCACUUGCUGUAAGUUGCUCUGGAUAAGAGCAUCUGCUAAAUGAUUAAAA
Salmo salar (Atlantic salmon) is the source of this 55-nucleotide non-coding RNA. The record is from Rfam. Lineage: Eukaryota; Metazoa; Chordata; Actinopteri; Salmoniformes; Salmonidae.